RNAcentral lists this ribosomal RNA (492 nucleotides) under uncultured bacterium. RNAcentral's name for it is "partial 16S ribosomal RNA". It matches the Rfam family "Bacterial small subunit ribosomal RNA", at positions 29 to 507 of the family's 1533-position model. The record is from RNAcentral.
AGUGAACGCUGGCGGUAGGCCUAACACAUGCAAGUCGAACGGCAGCACAGUAAGAGCUUGCUCUUACGGGUGGCGAGUGGCGGACGGGUGAGGAAUACAUCGGAAUCUACUUUUUCGUGGGGGAUAACGUAGGGAAACUUACGCUAAUACCGCAUACGACCUACGGGUGAAAGCAGGGGAUCUUCGGACCUUGCGCGAUUGAAUGAGCCGAUGUCGGAUUAGCUAGUUGGCGGGGUAAAGGCCCACCAAGGCGACGAUCCGUAGCUGGUCUGAGAGGAUGAUCAGCCACACUGGAACUGAGACACGGUCCAGACUCCUACGGGAGGCAACAGUGGGGAAUAUUGGACAAUGGGCGCAAGCCUGAUCCAGCCAUACCGCGUGGGUGAAGAAGGCCUUCGGGUUGUAAAGCCCUUUUGUUGGGGAAGAAAAGCAGCAGGUUAAUACCCCGCUGUUCUGACGGUACCCAAAGAAUAAGCACCGGCUAACUUCGUG